This 253-nucleotide long non-coding RNA is filed under the name Paramuricea clavata. The record is from RNAcentral. Lineage: Eukaryota; Metazoa; Cnidaria; Anthozoa; Malacalcyonacea; Plexauridae.
GAAAAUUACUACGGCGAACGUCUGCGCAACCAGGCCUCCUUUACCGUUGGAUUUACAGGGGGGAGGAUGCCAGUAAUAUAUUCACGAUAAUAUUUCGAAUUAAAGUAUCAUAUUCUACCAUACUUUCCAACAAAGAGUCGCUGUAUGUUACUUCUUCCUUAAAUUUUUUCAAUCUCCGUCGUUUAAUUUUCUUUUCUUCGACAACAUCUCGAGUUUUAUACAGUAUCCGAUCGAAGGAGUUUUUAUUUUGAAU